UAAUGCAUACUUCAUUGGAUCAAUUCUAUUUGUUGUUAUGCUGAGUUCCUUGACCGUAAUCAGAUAGGUCACAACCUCGUGAUGAGGCUGAGUUGUGGAAUCUCUGUGCGGGAAGGUAGCGCUCAUGGAUUUGUUCUUGAGCAUUGAUGACCGUUCCACUGUGGUCCUCCAACAGUGAUGGUGGGUUCACAACAAGCUGAGAGGU
Molecule: non-coding RNA, 205 nt
Organism: Cherax quadricarinatus
Lineage: Eukaryota; Metazoa; Arthropoda; Malacostraca; Decapoda; Parastacidae
Source: RefSeq, a predicted model, not a curated record